Molecule: long non-coding RNA, 1036 nt
Organism: Stomoxys calcitrans (stable fly)
Lineage: Eukaryota; Metazoa; Arthropoda; Insecta; Diptera; Muscidae
Exons: 3
Source: RefSeq, a predicted model, not a curated record
AAGCAGUGCCUGUUGUACAAAAAGAAAAAAGAAAUUAUUGAGAAAUAAAUAAUAAUCAUAAUACAAAUUAAGAAAUGUGUACUAAAGUUUGUGUGGUUUUUACAUCUUUAUUUGAAAAUCCAGUGUUUAUGAAAGUCUGAUUGCCUGGCUUAUCAGUGUUGUUAUAUAGAAAUUGUGUAGCUGCUGCUGCUACGUCCUACGUCCCCAACACAACCACUUGUUUGUAAAAUACAUGCAUAUAUAAUAUUACAUAUAUAUGUACCUAAUUAUGUUCUACAACGUCAAUCGAGAAUCAAUGAGAUAAUCCACAUUGCAGUUUCAAAAGCAAAAUUUGCCGUUUUUAAAUUAUUUUUGUCAUGAAUAUUCGUUACUGCUCGUAGUCGCCAAAGUCUUUAGAUUUUCAAAAAAUUGUCGUUAAUUUUACUUUGUAUUGGAUGUUGUAUGAUUAUAAAUAUUUAUUAUCAGUGUUGUGAGUGUUUUCUUUUUUAAAUAAACUCUCUCUCUUACAUUGCUCACUUAAGACUGUAAGAAGAAGAGGCAUAAGAAUAUGCAAGAAGAAGCAGAAUUAUGAAAGUGUAAAACAUAACGAAGAAGUUCUUGAAAAGCAACAACAACACCAUUGAGUUAAAGAAAGUGUAAAAAAAAAGUUUUUCAAAAAUUAUCUGCCACAGUCAGUUCAAUCACAUUUUUUUUUUUUUACCAAAAAUAUAUCAAAAUUUGAUUACACAUACACAUACACACAGGUCAAUAAGGCAGGCUUGACUUGGAAUAUUUACAAUAUUUGGUUUCACUCUCUUGCUGUGGAUUAUUUAUAAUUACAAGUCCAGUCCCAAAUAUUGUAUUAAAAAUAAAUAAAAUCUUAGAAUAUUUCGAACGCAUCCAUUGAUAGCUUUGCACAGAGAGCAGCCAAAGCAUUGGCCACAACAAUUUUCCCAAAAAAAAAAAUUGAAGGGAAAAAACUCGCUCUAGCACGUGAUAUAUGAUGAUUGCUCAUACCAUAGAAAUGUCGUGGAGCCAACAUACCCAUUGACAUAUG